RNAcentral lists this ribosomal RNA (1470 nucleotides) under Triticum aestivum (bread wheat). RNAcentral's name for it is "partial small subunit ribosomal RNA". The record is from RNAcentral. Lineage: Eukaryota; Viridiplantae; Streptophyta; Magnoliopsida; Poales; Poaceae.
AUGGGGUCGGAGGCCUGCCAUGAGAAGCCGCACGCCGUGAUGAUCCCGUACCCGGCGCAGGGCCAUGUCACGCCCAUGAUGAAGAUGGCCAAGCUGCUCCACGCCCGGGGCUUCCACGUCACCUUCGUCAACACCGAGUUCAACCACCGCCGGCUGCUCCACUCGCGCGGGGCGGGGGCGCUUGACGGCGUCCCGGGCUUCCGCUUCGCCGCCAUACCGGAUGGGCUGCCGUCGUCCGACGCCGACGCCACGCAGGACGUUCCCGCGCUCUGCAACUCCACCAUGACCACCUGCCUCCCCCACCUCCUGGCCCUUCUUGCCAAGCUCAACGACCAGGGUUCCGGGGUGCCGCCGGUCACCUGCCUUGUCGUCGACGGCGUCAUGUCGUUCGGUUAUGACGCUGCCAAGGAGAUUGGCGUGCCCUGCGCGGCCUUGUGGACGGCCAGCGCGUGCGGGUUCAUGGGCUACCGCCACUACCCGCAGCUCAUCGAGUCGGGUUUCGUGCCUUUCAAAGAUGAGGCUCAGCUCACAGACAAGGCGCACCUGGACACGGUGGUACAGGGCGUGCGCGGCAUGUGCAACGGCAUGAGGCUGCGGGACUUCCCGUCCUUCAUGCGCACCACCGACCGCGGUGACAUAAUGCUCAACUUCUUCGUGCACGAGGGCGGGCGCCUGUCGCUCCCCACCGCCGUCAUGAUCAACACGUUCGACGAGCUGGAGCGGCCGGUCCUCGACGCCAUGCGCGCCAUCCUCCCGCCCCUCUACACCGUGGGGCCGCUGCUUCUCCACGCCCACCACGCCGUCCCCGACGGCACCUCGCUCGACGCCCUUGGCUCCAACCUCUGGAAGGAGCAGGACGGCCUCCUCGACUUGCUCGACGGCCACGGCGCCAACUCCGUGGUGUACGUGAACUACGGCAGCAUCACUGUGAUGACGAACGAGCAGCUCCUGGAGUUCGCGUGGGGGCUGGCCAACAGCGGCUACCCUUUCAUAUGGAACAUCCGGCCGGACCUGGUCAAGGGCGACACGGCCGUGCUGCCGCCGGAGUUCAUGGCCUCCAUCGACGGCCGUGCCAUGCUCACCACGUGGUGCUCGCAGGAGAAGGUCCUCGCGCACAAGGCCGUGGGGGUGUUCCUGACGCACUCCGGGUGGAACUCGACGCUGGAGAGCAUCUCUAACGGCGUGCCGAUGCUCAGCUGGCCCUUCUUCGCGGAGCAGCAGACCAACUGCAGGUACAAGUGCACGGAGUGGGGGAACGGGAUGGAGAUCGACGGCGAGGUGAAGCGGGAGGUCCUGGCGGCGAUGAUACGUGAGGCCAUGGAAGGGGAGAAGGGGCUGGAGAUGAGGAGGCGUGCGGCGGAGUGGAAGGAGAGUGCGGUUAGAGCCACGCUUCCUGGUGGAUCCGCGGUGGCCAACCUGGACUCGGUGAUCCGUGACGUGCUCCUCGCCAACUUCAACAACAAAAACUGA